UACGUAGGGUGCGAGCGUUAAUCGGAAUUACUGGGCGUAAAGCGAGCGCAGGCGGUUCUGUAAGACAGAUGUGAAAUCCCCGGGCUUAACCUGGGAACUGCAUUUGUGACUGCAGGGCUAGAGUGCGUCAGAGGGGGGUGGAACUCCACGUGUAGCAGUGAAAUGCGUAGAGAUGUGGAAGAACACCGAUGGCGAAGGCAGCCCCCUGGGAUGACACUGACGCUCAUGCUCGAAAGCGUGGGGAGCAAAC
This 250-nucleotide ribosomal RNA is filed under the name uncultured bacterium. RNAcentral's name for it is "partial 16S ribosomal RNA". It matches the Rfam family "Bacterial small subunit ribosomal RNA", at positions 524 to 773 of the family's 1533-position model. The record is from RNAcentral.